AGAUAUUACAAGUUGAGCAAACUUCUUCUUUUAACUUCUCCAUUAAAAAAGAAUCUUAAUCCAACAUCGAGGUCGCAAUCAAUUUUAUCAAUAAGAACUAUCCAAAAUUAUUACGCUGUUAUCCCUAGAGUAUUUUUUUCACUUAAUCGUUACUAACGGAUCAUUUAAUAUUCUUAAAGUUUAUUAAUCUUUAAAAAUCACCCCAAUUAAAUUUUAAUUUUAUAAAUAUUUAUAUAAUUAAAAUAAAAAUUCAUAGGGUCUUCUUGUCCCAAACAAACAUUUAAGUUUUUUCACAUAAAAACCAACUUCUAUUAAUUUUCUUAAGAAAGAUAAUCUUUGUUCAACCAUUCUCUUAGCAUCCAUUUAAAACCUUAUUUCAAUACCUUCGUAUAGUCAAAAUA
RNAcentral lists this ribosomal RNA (401 nucleotides) under Argas walkerae. RNAcentral's name for it is "partial 16S ribosomal RNA". The record is from RNAcentral. Lineage: Eukaryota; Metazoa; Arthropoda; Arachnida; Ixodida; Argasidae.